AACUGCGGACCGAUGCACCAGAAGCGGACGCUCGUUACGUUGAGGCCCCUAGUUUCACUAAUCGCAGCCAAUAGGGCCCAGCCGGAUGUACGAGAUCAAAUAGAUAUGUCUCUCUCUUGGGAAAAAACAACUUCACGAAAGGCCCGUCUACCUGCUUCUAGGAAGGCACGAGCCGCCGAUGGAUGGCGGAAGGCCACGGCGAGUCCGCUGUACUGCCCGCCGUCGCCGGAUGUUUCCCUGCUGCGGCGGCCUCAUUUGGUCAUCCCCAAAUAUAUUCCUAGAUAAGUAUUUCUUUCCAAUGCAAGGGAACCGAUGGCUUGAUCCACGGAGAGCGAAACGAGAUGCAAGUCAGGCCCGCCUGAAGGUGUCCUUUUUUUGGAUAGAAAGAAGGGUUCAGUGGGAGGGCAAGGGGUAGUUAAGUUUUAGGUUGGUUCUUGUUUUUUACGGACUUUCUUUUCGGUGUAAUUUAAUAAAGUAGUAGCAAUUGUUCAUUUCAUUUCAUUUUUUUUGCAUUGGUAGUUCUUUUUCACUUGAAAGGGCAAAGGGAGGUUACUCAGUGUUGGAACA
Molecule: long non-coding RNA, 567 nt
Organism: Triticum aestivum (bread wheat)
Lineage: Eukaryota; Viridiplantae; Streptophyta; Magnoliopsida; Poales; Poaceae
Exons: 2
Source: RefSeq, a predicted model, not a curated record